Molecule: ribosomal RNA, 219 nt
Filed under: Campeiostachys nutans
Lineage: Eukaryota; Viridiplantae; Streptophyta; Magnoliopsida; Poales; Poaceae
Description: Elymus nutans partial small subunit ribosomal RNA
Rfam family: Eukaryotic small subunit ribosomal RNA (bases 46-219)
Source: RNAcentral
GGAUUGACGUGACGGUCGUGCCUUAAGGGGUAUGAACUGUCGCAGUUGAUUUCUCCCUUCUGACGAACCAUGAUGUCAUUAACUUGGUGUCAUGGGAAAUCAGGACUGUUACUUUGAAAAAAUUAGAGUGUUUAAAGCAGGCUCACGCUUGAAUACAUUAGCAUGGAAUAAUGAAAUAGGACGUUCGAUCCUAUUUUGUUGGUUUUUAGGAUCAACGUA